UACGUAGGGUGCGAGCGUUGUCCGGAAUUAUUGGGCGUAAAGAGCUCGUAGGCGGUGUGUCGCGUCGGCCGUGAAAACCUGGGGCUCAACUCUGGGCGUGCGGUCGAUACGGGCAGACUAGAGUUCGGUAGGGGAGUCUGGAAUUCCUGGUGUAGCGGUGAAAUGCGCAGAUAUCAGGAGGAACACCGGUGGCGAAGGCGGGACUCUGGGCCGAUACUGACGCUGAGGAGCGAAAGCGUGGGGAGCAAACAGG
RNAcentral lists this ribosomal RNA (253 nucleotides) under uncultured bacterium. Its description in RNAcentral is "partial 16S ribosomal RNA". It matches the Rfam family "Bacterial small subunit ribosomal RNA", at positions 524 to 776 of the family's 1533-position model. The record is from RNAcentral.